This 99-nucleotide transfer RNA is filed under the name Syntrophomonadaceae bacterium. RNAcentral's name for it is "tRNA-Sec". It matches the Rfam family "Selenocysteine transfer RNA". The record is from RNAcentral. Lineage: Bacteria; Bacillati; Bacillota; Clostridia; Eubacteriales; Syntrophomonadaceae.
GGAGGCGGAUCGGUCCUGGUGGACCGCCUGGACUUCAAAUCCAGUCUGCGCCGUGGUGGCCCCACGGUGGGUGGGUUCGAUUCCCACACGCCUCCGCCA